Paramormyrops kingsleyae is the source of this 312-nucleotide non-coding RNA. Lineage: Eukaryota; Metazoa; Chordata; Actinopteri; Osteoglossiformes; Mormyridae. The record is from RefSeq and is a predicted model, not a curated record.
GGAACCAUCUCAGCUUUUUGAAAUUCUGCGUGACUUACUGAGAGUAUUAUCUAAACACAUUGUGCUUCUGGCAGGUUAAUGUACACAUAUUAGUGCUCUCUGGUAUCAAAGCUUCUCUUCAGUUAAGUCAUGACUGGGGCUGAGAGAUUCAUUCUCAUUGGAUGCCUGCUGCAAGGGGCUCUGUGCAGUACCUGGUCAGCCCAGAUGCCUCAGAACAUACAAGCUCUGCAUGGAUCCUGUGUGCUGAUUCCCUGCACAUUCCAGAUUCCAUCUGACUAUGAUCAAUAUCUGAAAGCCCCAGUCGGAAUGUGG